CGCACGGGUGCGUAACGCGUAUGCAAUCUACCUUUUACUAUGGGAUAGCCCAGAGAAAUUUGGAUUAAUACCAUAUAGUAUAUUUGAAUGGCAUCGUUUGAAUAUUAAAGAUUUAUCGGUAAAAGAUGAGCAUGCGUCCCAUUAGUUAGUUGGUGUGGCAACGGCAUACCAAGACGAUGAUGGGUAGGGGUCCUGAGAGGGAGAUCCCCCACACUGGUACUGAGACACGGACCAGAUUCCUACGGGAGGCAGCAGUGAGGAAUAUUGGUCAAUGGAGGCAACUCUGAACCAGCCAUGCCGCGUGCAGGAUGACGGUCCUAUGGAUUGUAAACUGCUUUUGUACGGGNAAGAAAACAACUACGAGUAGUUAAUUGACGGUACCGUAAGAAUAAGGAUCGGCUAACUCCGUGUCAGCAGCCGCGGUAAUACGGGAGGAUCCAAGCGUUAUCCGGAAUCAUUGGGUUUAAAGGGUCCGUAGGCGGCCUUAUAAGUCAGUGGNGAAAGUUUUUGGCUUAACCAAAAAAUUGCCAUUGAUACUGUAGGGCUUGAAUAUCUGUGAAGUAACUAGAAUAUGUAGUGUAGCGGUGAAAUGCUUAGAUAUUACAUGGAAUACCGAUUGCGAAGGCAGGUUACUAACAGAUGAUUGACGCUGAUGGACGAAAGCGUGGGUAGCGAACAGGAUUAGAUACCCUGGUAGUCCACGCCGUAAACGAUGGAUACUAGCUGUUUCGGUUUUCGGACUGAGUGGCUAAGCGAAAGUGAUAAGUAUCCCACCUGGGGAGUACGGUCGCAAGACUGAAACUCAAAGGAAUUGACGGGGGCCCGCACAAGCGGUGGAGCAUGUGGUUUAAUUCCGAUGAUACGCGAGGAACCUUACCAGGGCUUAAAUGUAGAUUGACAGAUUUGGAAACAGAUUUUUCUUCGGACAAUUUACAAGGUGCUGCAUGGUUGUCGUCAGCUCGUGCCGUGAGGUGUCAGGUUAAGUCCUAUAACGAGCGCAACCCUGUUGUUAGUUGCNGCNCGUAAUGGUGGGAACUCUAGCAAGACUGCC
This 1051-nucleotide ribosomal RNA is filed under the name uncultured Myroides sp. RNAcentral's name for it is "bacterial SSU rRNA". It matches the Rfam family "Bacterial small subunit ribosomal RNA", at positions 99 to 1153 of the family's 1533-position model. Lineage: Bacteria; Pseudomonadati; Bacteroidota; Flavobacteriia; Flavobacteriales; Flavobacteriaceae. The record is from RNAcentral.